RNAcentral lists this ribosomal RNA (425 nucleotides) under uncultured bacterium. RNAcentral's name for it is "partial 16S ribosomal RNA". It matches the Rfam family "Bacterial small subunit ribosomal RNA", at positions 354 to 796 of the family's 1533-position model. The record is from RNAcentral.
GUGGGGAAUCUUAGACAAUGGGCGCAAGCCUGAUCUAGCCAUGCCGCGUGAGCGAUGAAGGCCUUAGGGUUGUAAAGCUCUUUCAGCUGGGAAGAUAAUGACGGUACCAGCAGAAGAAGCCCCGGCUAACUCCGUGCCAGCAGCCGCGGUAAUACGGAGGGGGCUAGCGUUGUUCGGAAUUACUGGGCGUAAAGCGCACGUAGGCGGAUCAGAAAGUCAGAGGUGAAAUCCCAGGGCUCAACCUUGGAACUGCCUUUGAAACUCCUGAUCUUGAGGUCGAGAGAGGUGAGUGGAAUUCCGGGGGUAGAGGUGAAAUUCGUAGAUAUUCGGAGGAACACCAGUGGCGAAGGCGGCUCACUGGCUCGAUACUGACGCUGAGGUGCGAAAGCGUGGGGAGCAAACAGGAUUAGAAACCCCGGUAGUCC